RNAcentral lists this ribosomal RNA (969 nucleotides) under Mycolicibacterium houstonense. RNAcentral describes it as "bacterial SSU rRNA". It matches the Rfam family "Bacterial small subunit ribosomal RNA", at positions 71 to 1057 of the family's 1533-position model. The record is from RNAcentral. Lineage: Bacteria; Bacillati; Actinomycetota; Actinomycetes; Mycobacteriales; Mycobacteriaceae.
AAAGGCCCUUCGGGGUACUCGAGUGGCGAACGGGUGAGUAACACGUGGGUGAUCUGCCCUGCACUUUGGGAUAAGCCUGGGAAACUGGGUCUAAUACCGAAUAGGACCACGCGCAUCAUGGUGUGUGGUGGAAAGCUUUUGCGGUGUGGGAUGGGCCCGCGGCCUAUCAGCUUGUUGGUGGGGUAAUGGCCUACCAAGGCGACGACGGGUAGCCGGCCUGAGAGGGUGACCGGCCACACUGGGACUGAGAUACGGCCCAGACUCCUACGGGAGGCAGCAGUGGGGAAUAUUGCACAAUGGGCGCAAGCCUGAUGCAGCGACGCCGCGUGAGGGAUGACGGCCUUCGGGUUGUAAACCUCUUUCAAUAGGGACGAAGCGUAAGUGACGGUACCUAUAGAAGAAGCACCGGCCAACUACGUGCCAGCAGCCGCGGUAAUACGUAGGGUGCGAGCGUUGUCCGGAAUUACUGGGCGUAAAGAGCUCGUAGGUGGUUUGUCGCGUUGUUCGUGAAAACUCACAGCUUAACUGUGGGCGUGCGGGCGAUACGGGCAGACUAGAGUACUGCAGGGGAGACUGGAAUUCCUGGUGUAGCGGUGGAAUGCGCAGAUAUCAGGAGGAACACCGGUGGCGAAGGCGGGUCUCUGGGCAGUAACUGACGCUGAGGAGCGAAAGCGUGGGGAGCGAACAGGAUUAGAUACCCUGGUAGUCCACGCCGUAAACGGUGGGUACUAGGUGUGGGUUCCUUCCUUGGGAUCCGUGCCGUAGCUAACGCAUUAAGUACCCCGCCUGGGGAGUACGGCCGCAAGGCUAAAACUCAAAGGAAUUGACGGGGGCCCGCACAAGCGGCGGAGCAUGUGGAUUAAUUCGAUGCAACGCGAAGAACCUUACCUGGGUUUGACAUGCACAGGACGCCGGCAGAGAUGUCGGUUCCCUUGUGGCCUGUGUGCAGGUGGUGCAUGGCUGUCGUCA